AUGCACGCUGGCGGCGUGCCUAAUACAUGCCAGUCGAGCGAACAGACGAGGAGCUUGCUCCUCUGACGUUAGCGGCGGACGGGUGAGUAACACGUGGAUAACCUACCUAUAAGACUGGGAUAACUUCGGGAAACCGGAGCUAAUACCGGAUAAUAUAUUGAACCGCCUGGUUCAAUAGUGAAAGACGGUUUUGCUGUCACUUAUAGAUGGAUCCGCGCCGCAUUAGCUAGUUGGUAAGGUAACGGCUUACCAAGGCAACGAUGCGUAGCCGACCUGAGAGGGUGAUCGGCCACACUGGAACUGAGACACGGUCCAGACUCCUACGGGAGGCAGCAGUAGGGAAUCUUCCGCAAUGGGCGAAAGCUUGACGGAGCAACGCCGCGUGAGUGAUGAAGGUCUUCGGAUCGUAAAACUCUGUUAUUAGGGAAGAACAAAUGUGUAAGUAACUAUGCACGUCUUGACGGUACCUAAUCAGAAAGCCACGGCUAACUACGUG
This 496-nucleotide ribosomal RNA is filed under the name uncultured bacterium. RNAcentral's name for it is "partial 16S ribosomal RNA". It matches the Rfam family "Bacterial small subunit ribosomal RNA", at positions 29 to 507 of the family's 1533-position model. The record is from RNAcentral.